UUUGCCUCAAAGAAGUCCUGAACUGUUUCUGUUGGAUGAAAGGAAGCUGGAAAAACCUGGGAACCUCCGAGGCUUAAAGCGUAACAUGAACUGAUAACAGCUAGAAAACCAGCGUCACCAUCCAGGCUAAGGAAGCUCUAAAAUGGCAAGGAAGCCCCAGAAUACCAAACUACCACCACCAUGUUUGACUGGAUCAAAAUGUAGCUGCUCACUACAAACUCUGUCUGUUUUGGCUAGACGUUGGUGAUUUGCCCUCAAUGUUGUCAUCAGGGUUGUUUUCAAACAGUUUUAACCAGGAAACCUUUGAGCUGCACUGGAAGCUGUCUGUCCAGGAACACACGCCAUCUCUUAGUGACUCAGGGUGGAAUAAAGUCAAUGAGGAAGCAAUUUGGGAGCCAUGAAUUCCAGCUGC
This is a long non-coding RNA of Poeciliopsis prolifica (blackstripe livebearer), 412 nucleotides long. RefSeq lists it as uncharacterized. Lineage: Eukaryota; Metazoa; Chordata; Actinopteri; Cyprinodontiformes; Poeciliidae. The transcript is spliced from 3 exons. The record is from RefSeq and is a predicted model, not a curated record.